Molecule: long non-coding RNA, 488 nt
Filed under: Malus domestica (apple)
Lineage: Eukaryota; Viridiplantae; Streptophyta; Magnoliopsida; Rosales; Rosaceae
Description: long non-coding RNA (MDOM_LNC012894)
Source: RNAcentral
AGGGAUUUCCAACGAUACAUAACAUGCCAAAGAUCAUUAUUCCCACAGAUUUUAGUCAUCCCUACUCUUGAGCAUAUACUUAAUCAUAGUUACCAUUCACUAGCUCACAUUUAAUCGUUUAAAACAACAUUAUGGACGUAGUAACAUGCCUUAGAGAAUCCACUCAAUUCCUUACUGGAUACACUCUUAUUUUCACACAGAUUUUCUAACUACACUCCCUAUACUAAGUAUAUGUGAGAAGAUUGAUGUAAACAUGGAAACGAACACUCACACAUGUUAUAAAAGAAGCACUUUUCUGGAAUGAUUAAGCAUUUAUAGAUAUGAUCUCAUGAAUGGAACGCUACUACUUAGAUGCGAGAACCAGGGACACCAUAUGCUCAAACCAAUCCCAAACUCCACAUAUUGAAAUACAUAACACUCAAGAUAGAAGUUAAGGAUUGUAACGGGGCUAAGGGGUAUUGGCUAACUGAAGGAUUAUUUUGUGAAAA